UGUCCCAUGGGAUAAUAAAAAUCCCAUGGGAUUUUUUUUGUCCCAUGGGAUUUUUUUUGUCCCAUGGGACA
Molecule: small RNA, 71 nt
Filed under: Mytilus galloprovincialis (Mediterranean mussel)
Lineage: Eukaryota; Metazoa; Mollusca; Bivalvia; Mytilida; Mytilidae
Source: RNAcentral